CGAACCAUCUCACAUCUGACAUCUCAUCUCUCUGUCGAUCCCCAUCUCUCUGCCCGUCCCCUGCCUCGCGCGGCACCUCCUCGCCGCCAGCAAUCACCGCUGACCCCGCCACCGUCGCCGCCAUGGGGGGCUUCUACAGGCACAUCGCGCCCACAAAGGAAGCACGGCGCCGCGGCCGAGGGUCCGGCACACCGGCGAACUCCGUCCGCUUCCUCUCUGGGACCUCGCCGCUGCUCCCCUAGGAUGACGCUUCGAGGACCUCACCGGACACCGCAGCUUCACCGGCGCCGCAUCCCCGCGCAACACAAUCGAGUCGCCCCUAAAGCCACCUCCUUGCCUGCCGGCCAGCCGCCGUCGAGGACGACGGGGUCCGACUUCUUGCCGCGUGUCGAGCCUCCGGCUUCUGCUCACUGGAAGAUGCACCACCUAUGGUGGGCGUCGCCGUCCACGACGUCAAGCCGCCAAACUAGCAGGAGAGCGGCCCGAGUCCGCUCUGCACGCUCCGUUGUCCAGUACAAUCUCCUCCAAAAAGCAGUAUCUUAGUUGAUUAAGAUGAAGAAUCCUUCCGAAGUUCUAUGAUGCAUGGAAUGUGAUUCGUCUCCUAAAUUAUGCGUGCAUUCAGGUAAUUAAUGGAAACUCAAGAAAAUGGAUCGCUCGCCGCGGGGACGCAGCUGCUGGCUAGGCUGGCCGCUGGUGCGCUAUGAAGACUUUGCAGAAGGUCACAAUCCAUUAGCUGAGUGCCAUGGGCCAUCAUGCUUGUUUAACUGGACAGGUACAUCAUCUCCUGUGAGCAGCAUCGAUCAUCAUUGGGAAUAGUGUCACUCCUGCCGGCAUGAUGCAUGAAAGGCACCAGAGCAAGCGGCACAACCUCAUCUCGUGCCUGCAGGUCCAUGUGCACCACGAGUCCACGAGGGCGACUUUGGUUGUGCUCCUAUGGCGCAUCAAUGUGAGGCGAUUCGUGGCACAGAGUCGCAUCAAUGUGAGACGAGUCGUGGCGCAACAGCUGUUUAGGCUGGAGCGUGCUGAAGCCGUUCGGGGCAUGUCACAAUCCAGCAGCUGGCUGGGAUGAGUGCCAUGGGCCAUGGUGCUAGUCUAGCUGGUCAGCCACCUCACCAUCUUGAGUGAGCAGCAUCGUCGGGUAUGGUGUCAUCAUCCUCCCCCUGCUUCUCUUCUCUGUCCAAGUAUCACAACAUGUGACUCAAUAUAACAUGUUCUUUCUAUUCUCGCUGGACUGUGAACUCAAGAAUCCAAGUCAUUUAUCUGUGUUUAAUUAGUGGCAUGCAUCCUGUACUAUUAAAUUGUGUGCUCAUAUGCGUCCUUGCUGCUGUAAUCUGCACUACAUGUUUGUUCUAUCUAGCCAUUAGACUUUUUCAUGAUUUUUUUUUUGUUGCGUGCUACUGUUUAGUAGCAGUACUAAUGUUUUGAGACAGAGAGAACUUCAAGUUGUUGUCACUGUUUUGUUCAUUAACACAGGGGAGUCAGAUGAGAAAUUAAGGUGAGUCUUGGUUUCAGAUGUUACGCAGUAACUUUCUUCUAGUAGAUGGAUUGCAGGUUCCGCCAAUUUUUACCGAAGCAGAUUACCUAAUUGGUGUGCGCAUGUGAUGCCUGAGUUUGUACCUAUCCACUUUGAUGGCAUAGGCUACGCUGCUUGAUUCGUGAGAUGGAUCAGGUUGUAUGUUGGUUCUGGUCGCACGGCAAUCUGGCUAUACGUACAUGUAUUUGAUGCAUGUGUGGAUGCUGGUUCAUUCAUUGGAUGGACUAAUUAACUUUAGUUUUUGUAUGGUUAUUCUGAAUAUUGAUGGUCCUAUGGAUAGCCAGCAAUGUGUGCCUAGCGACAGUAGAUGAUUAGCGUGUAGUUUAUUCAUCUUCUAAAUGAUUAGCGUGUAUUUAUUGACCUUCAUAUUUAGGAAAGAAUUUAUUUACUUUGAUCAUGCUUGAAAAUGUUUUCACCAUAUAGUUCUCAAUUAUAUUGAGAUUUGUUAUGUAAUUAUGUUGAGGUUAUUGAUAUGAAAGUAUUAUGAGGUAGUUCGUGUGGGUACUGGGACAAGAGAAAUAUGUACUGACCUUUGUUUUUGACGUUGCUUGUAGUAUCUACUUCACUAUAAUUCAGUAUGCUAUCUAUUCUUUUAUAUGUUAAAGUUUUUUUUCCCGCGAAACUCUUUAAAAAAGAACAAUACAACUGCUAUUUUUUUGGACAACCUCGGUUGCAAUCUUCAUUUCAUAUUUAAGGAAGUCAAAGUUGCGAUGAAGAUAAGUAAAAAUGGUCAGAUGAAUAAUAGUACGUAUAUGCUAACACUAUUUAUCUGAGAAUGACGAAUGAAGAGGAAAACCCUAUUUAUAAUUUGUAAUAUACUUGUCUUCCUCUUAUGUUAUUUGAGAUUGAGUUAAACUUCUUGAUUCUGUCUCGAAGAGUGCACAUCAUGCAUGCAUGUUUUUAGAUGCAUGGUAGGUAUGUGUUAAGGAAUGCAUUAAAUAUGUAUUUUCUGAAUAACAUAAGUGAUGGUCCAGAUAGAACAUGGUUUUGGGUAAGGCGCUCUGCCGCUUUGGAUAUAUCAUUUCUUUUUAUGUCACAAGUUGUGCUUCCCGAAUGUCCACAGGCUGUUCUGGUGGCAGGCAAACUUGAUCUGACCACUAGUGUUUGUGAAGCACCCCUUUCGGCCGAGCACCUUGUUCUGCUCUGUCACUAUUGUUGUUACAAAGGUAAUGCAACUCGACGAGAGAUGAAGAGGAGCUUCAGCUGAUGCACCUCUAGUUUGAACUGGGAGGACCAGGUGAUGAUUGUGAUGUGGGGCUUCUCCAUACCAGCAACAACGGUGCUACUUAUAUCUCUGUAGAGGAUGGCUAGGACUUCCUCAAGGAGGUUCAAAGCCUAUGGUAUUUCACCAUAUUCAAAAAGGACACCGCGGAGGUUUUACGUUUACCCCUCUAGGAUAUCAUUUUCAUGAUAUGCCGUUUCAUGACGGUGACUUGGAAGAACCUUCUGCUGCCAACAAAUGGAGAUGCCAUCACACUGGAAAUGAGAGAUUUUGGGUUUGCUAGCUGAGAGCUUCGUUCUCGCUGUUGCUGUUGUGUGGCAAUUUUUCUUUCCCCUCCAAUUCAAAUUAUUGCGGAGAUGGAGAACAACACUGAAAAUCUGUAAUUGUUAUUUCUUAUAUCAAGUUUGAUAUUUAUUCACAA
Molecule: long non-coding RNA, 3177 nt
Organism: Lolium perenne
Lineage: Eukaryota; Viridiplantae; Streptophyta; Magnoliopsida; Poales; Poaceae
Source: RefSeq, a predicted model, not a curated record